UGUAUUAUUAAUGUGUUGGCAAAUUUAUGCAUAAUAUCAAAAUAUGUACACAUAUCAAUCACAACCUUCCACGCAUAUAUGUCAACACAUUAAUAAUACAUAAAGUUAAUUUUAUAAAGUAUCUAUAGAAAUAUUGUCUUCNAUUAACUUUAUGUAUUAUUAAUGUGUUGGCAAAUUUAUGCAUAAUAUCAAAAUAUGUACACAUAUCAAUCACAACCUUCCACGCAUAUAUGUCAACAUAACAAUAACAGAACAUUGGAGACUCAUAAUGUGAGACCCUAGAUAGUACUAUAUAUAAGAUAUAAUAUGACUAAAAUUCUUAACUCGAAUAUAAAAUUUGGGUAAUGGCUAGGCUGAAGAGAUUAAAAAAAUUAAGCGUAUUAGGAUUAGAAUAGUCUUAAAAUGGAUGACCUCUUGGGAAGUGGGGCGUCACAAUUGAUAUCAAAGCCAAUUAUCAGUCGGAAGCAUGAGAAGAGUCUCGGUUUAGCCAGGUUAUACACUGAGGAGAGCGAGAGUCUAAUCCUGAUGACUGUUUUGGGUAGAGCGCAACUCCCCCGUAAGGUCGGUUAAAGCUAACGAGACGAGUCUCACAUCGCUUGAUAUUUGUGAGUCUAAGCCUAAUGAAAACAUCAGCACUUAAAGUUAGGGAGAAUGUGAGACCCCAGAUAAUUCUAUACAUAAGAUAUAAUAUAUUUAGAAUUCUUAACCUGAUUAUAGUAUUUUGGGCGAUAGCUAAACCGAGAGAUUAAGAAAAUUAAGUAUAUUAGGGUUAGAGUAAUCUUAAGAUAGGUGA
RNAcentral lists this long non-coding RNA (793 nucleotides) under Ananas comosus (pineapple). RNAcentral describes it as "long non-coding RNA (ACOM_LNC004205)". The record is from RNAcentral. Lineage: Eukaryota; Viridiplantae; Streptophyta; Magnoliopsida; Poales; Bromeliaceae.